AUUCAUAAUGGAAAGGAACAUAUACCUAUUUACAUAACAAAUCAUAUUAUAAGCUGCAAAUUGGCUGGAUUCUUGCCUACUCAGCAUUUCAUGAGUUAUCAAAAUGCAAGAAAGGGUACUUAAUCUUGUCGUUAA
Molecule: ribosomal RNA, 135 nt
Filed under: Triticum aestivum (bread wheat)
Lineage: Eukaryota; Viridiplantae; Streptophyta; Magnoliopsida; Poales; Poaceae
Description: partial small subunit ribosomal RNA
Source: RNAcentral